Molecule: ribosomal RNA, 384 nt
Filed under: Haemophilus sp. oral taxon 036
Lineage: Bacteria; Pseudomonadati; Pseudomonadota; Gammaproteobacteria; Pasteurellales; Pasteurellaceae
Description: bacterial SSU rRNA
Rfam family: Bacterial small subunit ribosomal RNA
Source: RNAcentral
AUUGAACGCUGGCGGCAGGCUUAACACACGCAAGUGAAUGGUAGCAGGAGAAAGCUUGCUUUCUUGCUGACGAGUGGCGGACGGGAGAGUAAUGCUUGGGAAUCUGGCUUAUGGAGGGGGAUAACUACGGGAAACUGUAGCUAAUACCGCGUAGUAUCGAGAGAUGAAAGUGCGGGACCGUAAGGCCGCAUGCCAUGAGAUGAGCCCAAGUGGGAUUAGGUAGUUGGUGGGGUAAAGGCCUACCAAGCCUGCGAUCUCUAGCUGGUCUGAGAGGAUGGCCAGCCACACUGGAAUGAGACACGGUCCAGACUCCUACGGGAGGCAGCAGUGGGGAAUAUUGCGCAAUGGGGGGAACCCUGACGCAGCCAUGCCGCGUGAAUGAAG